GUUAAGAUGGUGGUGAAUUAGGGGGACCCUGGGCUUUCCUUGUCCCUCAAACACAGCUGUAUUGAGGUCAGAUUACUUGGAACACCCAGAAAAUCGAUCUGCAGAGUGGCAGGAGGAUCUCCACUGUUGGAGGGCGACAGCUUGGCAAGGGAGAGGUGUGUGGAUGUGAACUGGGGAAAAGAAAAAUGAUGGCGCUGUGGAAGGGAGGGAACCCUUUCUGUGGAGAGAAA
Molecule: long non-coding RNA, 230 nt
Organism: Herpailurus yagouaroundi (jaguarundi)
Lineage: Eukaryota; Metazoa; Chordata; Mammalia; Carnivora; Felidae
Exons: 2
Source: RefSeq, a predicted model, not a curated record